Molecule: ribosomal RNA, 253 nt
Filed under: uncultured bacterium
Lineage: Bacteria
Description: partial 16S ribosomal RNA
Rfam family: Bacterial small subunit ribosomal RNA
Source: RNAcentral
UACGUAGGGUGCGAGCGUUAAUCGGAAUUACUGGGCGUAAAGGGUGCGUAGGUGGUUUUUUAAGUCCGUUGUGAAAUCCCUGGGCUCAACCUGGGAAUGGCAGUGGAUACUGGAAAGCUAGAGUGCGGUAGAGGGUAGUGGAAUUCCCGGUGUAGCAGUGAAAUGCGUAGAGAUCGGGAGGAACACCAGUGGCGAAGGCGGCUACCUGGACCAGCACUGACACUGAAGCACGAAAGCGUGGGGAGCAAACAGG